CAGUCGCCACGGGAAUACGUAGGGUGCAAGCGUUAAUCGGAAUUACUGGGCGUAAAGCGUGCGCAGGCGGUUUGUUAAGACAGAUGUGAAAUCCCCGGGCUCAACCUGGGAACUGCAUUUGUGACUGGCAAGCUAGAGUGUGGCAGAGGGGGGUGGAAUUCCGCGUGUAGCAGUGAAAUGCGUAGAUAUGCGGAGGAACACCGAUGGCGAGGGCGGCCAUCUGGGACAACACUGACGCUGAGGCACGAAAGCGUGGGGAGCAAACAGGAUUAGAUACCCCGGUAGUCCCUGUCUCUUAUAC
Molecule: ribosomal RNA, 301 nt
Filed under: uncultured bacterium
Lineage: Bacteria
Description: partial 16S ribosomal RNA
Rfam family: Bacterial small subunit ribosomal RNA
Source: RNAcentral